AAUGAACUUCCUUUUUUCUAUUGAGCUGGCCAGGUUUGAAGAAUAAUUAAUUCCAUUGACUUGGAUCUGUCUUCUCUCUCACGUGAUUUUUCUUCUCACCGAAACUUCAAUUCUGAUUUUUUAGACUUGUGAUUUCUCUCCUUUUUGGCAGUAAACCAGAUCUUGACCUUGAUCUUGGCUUAUGGUCUGUGGUGGUUUCUGGCUAUAGUUUGGCCUGUGUAUAGUAUUCAUUUUCAAGCAGUUUUGGGCCUUUUUCUGGGUCCGCUUUGAAUUGUAAAGUGCUAUACUCCACUUGCGUCUUUGUCUUCGGUCGGUUAGGGGAUAUAUAGAUUGAUGAUCUGUUAGUUGAAUAGGUGAUCAAAUUCUUGUACCCUAAACUUUUACUCUCUUAAGAGGUUCUUACACAUAGUGACAGGCUGUUAUCUCUUAUCUCUGAUCCUUCAGAGUAGGCUUUAGUCGACCUACGUGAACAUUUCUUGUGUUGGUUUUUUACUGUUUGUGAGUGAUCGUGUUUUGGUUUUUGCAUAUUGCUUCGUUUGGUAGACAAAAUCCCAACAAAAGGUUGAAACUUGAAUAUAAGAAUGGUAAUUGCUUGUAUAAUUAAAGACCGGUCCGGUCCACCAAUUCACAGUAGUGGGUAAGGUUCGUUUGUAACAUAUUUGCCAUAUCUAACCACAAUCGAACACGAGCCUCCGUUGAUUCCUUACGUGACAUGAACAUUCGACACAGGCUUUGAUAUUCCCGCUUGUGUCUACAUUUAAUGCCACGUCAUCCUUAAGAUGCUUCUUGUUAAAAUUGCAUUUCCCAUUUAGCCAUUUCUUGUCCCCUAAGAUAUUACAUGGUGACGACGGGGGUACAAAAUGUCGCUAGUUGUGCCAACAACAGAUAUGGCGAUGGGCUUCCAUAAAUCAUUUCGGGCUGAGCUCGGUGGGCUUCAUUGGGCUACUACAGCUUUAGCCACCAAUUGAAGUGGAGAUGGGGAUAUAAAGAAAUUGACGGAGAAGUACCAUCUUUUUAGGUCGAUUUACAAGCAUCACUGCAAUGCUAAUGACGAGGUCUAUUGUACUAAUUGCAUUUUAAUAUAAUUACAUGUCAAUAUAUGUAAUAAUUUUCUCUAUGUAUGUGUGUUGUAUGGGAGAAUUGAUUACACCUAACCGUGCAGUUUCAUAUUUCUACUGUUCGUUAAGCAUUUCUCUGUCAUUAAUUUAAUUGAAGAAUCUCAAGCUGUGUAGCUGAAAUUCAUAGCCUUCGAAUAUUUCUGCAAAUGACUGCUUCAUUCAUUUUUCUAUUAUUAUUAUUGUAACUUAUUUAUA
Molecule: long non-coding RNA, 1313 nt
Filed under: Olea europaea subsp. europaea
Lineage: Eukaryota; Viridiplantae; Streptophyta; Magnoliopsida; Lamiales; Oleaceae
Source: RNAcentral